UGUAUCAGUUGACAAGGGAAUAAACUGUUAAUCAUAGAAACAGAUCUUUCCAAAGAUUUGCCAAAAUACAUCAGAAACUUAGCUACUAAAAUCCAAAUGGGACAGUAUGAACGGAGAUCAAAUAGAACCCCAAAUCUUAGGAACAAAGGCAAAAGAUCAAAUUUCUAAACCUAUUGAAGAAACUCAGCAAGAGGUUCUCAGAUAAAGGAACAAAAUACUCCAUGAAUCUUCGCAGGACACAAUGAUCGGUUGGACGCCGACGCAGCAAAUCGACGCCGAAGGCGCUAGAAUCCUUAGAGGUCACCUGGCAGAAAGUUCGCCGGAAUACGAGAGCCGAUGGUGAAAACCACCCUAAUUCCGCUUUCUCUUCGUGAGGAGCCGAGAAGGAGAGGAUGGAACGGAGGAGGCCGUUCUGAGUUUUAAACGCACAAUUUUACACGUGACUUCCACGUGCAUGCAAACAAAAGAACUCUCUGUAGUCGCGGCCAAAAGCAUUUCCAUCUUAAUUAGUUCGUCCCGGCAAGAUGGCGGAAUGCUUCCGUGAUCUGGCUCCCUGUGCGCUCUGCUCGAGCCUUUGGAUCCUCCUAGCCGUCAGCUUUCCCACUUCAAUCUACGCGAUUCGGCAAUUGCUCAUACGCCUGCUUCUCUUGAUCGCCCCUCUUGUUAUCUGUUUCUGUUCUCAUUUGAAAAUUUUAACUGCGGGGGGAAUUCGAUCCAAUUGAUCCAGAAAACUCUUGGGAAUCUGUUAUUGUUGUAAAAUUUGAUUGCUUUGUAUGUGUGUUUUAUCGAUUAUUAGUCAUUUCUUUGUAUUUGGAAACAGAUUGAGGCACAGCGAGCUAGGGCACACGAGAAUCUUUGUUUUAUUUUAUUUUUGAAGGAAGGGCAUGUGAGAUUCUUGUAGAGUUUUAUAGGUUGCGAAGCGAAUGCGUUAGAAACUGAGGAGAAUAAGAUUAAAGUCAAUAUAGAUGAAUCGAGAGGGUUGAUGAAGAGCAUUGUUACUCCGUGGCCCGGUUUCUCGAUGUGACUUGUGACUUUGUGCUUAUGUUGAUAGUCUAGGUCAUGCUACCCGAACCUGGAGGAAUUGGAAAGCUUGUCUAGAUUUGUGGCUCUAAAGUGGACAAUUUCGGUUGUCAAAUUCCAUCACACUUUUGAUUACUCUAAAAUUCCCUAAUUUGCGUAGCUGUAGUGCAUUAAGUGUGAAAUCCAGAUGCUGACUGUGUUUGAAACUCAUUCAAGGAAGGAUAUUGGUAUUAUGGAGAAUCCUGUUUUCAGGGGCGCUACUUAUUAUCAGAUGACAAUGCUUUAGAUGUCAUUCUUUCAAGCGUUUCAAACUCAACAUUGCUGAUUCAGUGAGAUAUUGAUUGCUUUUUUCUAAUUAAAAUCGUGAAGGAUAUAUAUGUACUGCCCUUUCUGUUGAUUCAUGGGCUCGAUGCUGUCCAGCUAAAGGGGACCAAUUUUCUUGUCGGGGCUGCAGCCUUGUUUCACAGUGUUGCAAUUCAUAUGAGUACUGUGUAUCAUGCUGCUUAGAUCCAUCCAGGGUUACUUUUCUCCCUUCUGUAUUUGUUUUGACCUUUUAUUAAAUUUGAAAUUUUGAUUCGUCACACUUUCUUAACAGACCAAAAAAGAUCUUGCUCUGAGGGUGAAAAUUGCUAGACCAAUCUCAGCAAGUAAAGUUACAGAUUUAAGUUUGUUGAGAAGAGAUUUCUUACUAGUUCAUUCAUUCUCUUGUUCUUCCUCUCUUUUAGGAACUUAUUCUAGUGUUUUUGAAUUCUGUGUUGGAAGAUGUCGUCAUAACUCUGCAAGUGUGGUAAUGCUGUCACACCAACCUUUCUUCUUUUUUAUCAUCUCUCCUAAUUUCAUUGGUGACUAUGGCAUUCUCUGACAAUGAAACUUAUAAAAGUAGAAUUUAGAAAUGGUUAUUGUCAUAUAACACGUUCAUUUAAAUAAGAUCUUGUGCCUUGACAAAUUCAUUUUUGUCCAAAUAAAAAAUAGAAGGGAAAACAUUUAUCUUGGGUAUAAACAUUAUGGUCUUCUAAUUGCAACUCUUGUUUAGCAUGACUGGGACUACCUAUGUCGGUUUUGCAUUGGAAAGUUAUGUUAUCAUAUCAAAUAUCUGGUAUAGUUAUCUACUCAUGCUGGCUCAGUGCCUAGCACAGGCAUGAUAUGAAGCAGAUUUACAGAUUGCAUAGAACAGUUCUUAUGCAUUAAUGCAUACGAACAACCUGGUGGCUAGUACCAUGUCACACAGGAAAACCAUUACUCAGUGAUGAAGGCUAAUUAAUACUAUUAACUUUGUUUAAUGAUAUUUAUUCGGUGAGGUUUCUGAUUAGGUUCAUGAGAAAGCCUAUCUAUGCAAGUGAUUUCCACCAUUGUUUUUCACUACAAUCAAAUUUUUCAGGUACUACUAAACUUUUACCCUAAUAAACAUCUGUUAAUUACAUCAUAUUGCAACAAAGAGCAUUUUGCUUUGAGGAUAUCAUUGCUUUCACAUAUUGAUUUAUGAGCUAUCUUUAAAUUUCGGAAUACAAGCCAAAUUUUGAAGCAAGAUUAUCUGGUAUUGACAUUGUUGUCGGAAGGUAGUUGUACUUUGGUUUUUGUGUAUGCUUGAUAUUUAGUUAUGACACUUGUUAUGCAUAAAUCUUAUUUGGAAAUAGUCUUGGAGAAUCUUGUAAUGCAGUUUGCAGCUGGAGAGGAAAAUCAUGUAUUCCAAACAGACUUUUGCUGCUAAAUAGAUGUGAUUUGUAAGUAUUUUCUUUUAAUAAACUUGAUUAUAUCGUUGUACAUCUUCUAUUCUUAUUUCUGUGUCGAUUGUAUUAAUGAUGCCAAAAGCUACUGAAUCUUGUAGGAGAAUAGGAGUCGAUAAAAAAACAAUGUAGCCAUAUUUUGAUUACGAGGAAUCAAGUAUAAUCUCUAUUGAUGAACUGCACAUGUGGCAGUUGCAUAUAUGUGGUGGUACAUUCUUCCAUGCUCAUAGGUGUCUUUACCAAUACCACCAAUUUGUGAAUGUUUUCAGGCCUUCUUCACCAUCAGAUUGAAAAUGAUCCAUCAGGUAGAUUAGAUGCAGAGAAAUUCACUUAUCAAAAAAGUUCAUGGUCGCUAGAUGCAUUUGAUAACUACAUUUUAGAUCUCUUGGCGUUCUUGGUACUUUCUAUUCAUCAUGUAUGAACAUUCUGUAGGAUCGCUUUUUCACAUUUUCAUAAAACAGUCGAGAGUACGCAGCGAAAAAAAGACACACAAAAUCAAUGUUAGCACAAUUUCUUUUACUUGGUUCGGAGCUUUUGAUGACUCCUACUCCAAGGUCCACACUAUUGAGUAUUUACUUUGGGCAAUCCACUAAAAUUUUGAGCGUUUACCCAAUUAGUUUGAAAUGAAAGUACAAGUAAACUAAAAUUAAUUAUACCGAUGAUUUUGAAAUGGAAGCUCGUGCGUAGUUGCUGUCGCGACAACGUUUAGGCAUUGUGGAGAGCUUUUCGGAGCAACGCGCAAGAAUAGAAGAUGUAGAGAGUUGUUGUCACUUGUAUUGAAGUUCUGUACAGAGGGUUGUUCGAAUAGGACUUUUAUGGAGCAUUGAAGAUGCCUACGACCUUUUCCGAGGUGUCUCUAGAUAUAAAUCUGAUCCCUUACCCUUUGUUUAGAUGGGGUGAACGAAGGUUCAUUAAUGGAAAGGGAAAGGAGGGGAAGGGAGGAAAAGGGAGGGGAAGUAAAGUAUUUAUAUUAUUCUUCUUUGGGAGGGAGGGAAGGUUUAUUAACGUAACAUGUAUUACCAUGUUUGGGAGGAAAGUGAGGGUAAUGAAGGUUAAAUAUAUAAAGUUAUAAAAUUACCCUUAUUUUUGUUAAAGACUUAUGCAUUCAAGAACCUAGUGCAUCUUGCAUACAUUUAUUGGUUAAGACUUACGUAUUCAAACAUUUGUAGCUUAUUUGUUAAAGUUGGCGAUGAAGUUGGCGUUGAAGUUGGCGUCGGCAUCGACAUCGGCAUCGAAGUUGGCAUCGAAAUCGGCGUCAAAGUCGGCAUCGACAUCAAAGUUGGCGUUGGCGUCGGCAUCGACGAAGUGCGACCGUCGGGCGGUGGGAGUCAAGUGGUGUGAGUGUUUUUCAUCGCGAUGUAAAGAAUAUCUAAAAUAAUGAUUUUUUUUUUAAAAUUAAUUUAAUAAACAGGGAUAAAAGUAGAACACAAAUUUUUUUAAUUCCCCUUACCCUUCCUUAUACCCCAAAUCGGGGUGUAAAAAAUUCUUUCGUUUCAUGGGUAAGGAAGGUUAAAGCUUACCCUUCCUUACUUUUCCUUUCCGUAGCUCACUUCUUCCCAAACAAGGUUUCAAAUUUUUCUUCCCCUUCUUUACCCUUUCCUCUCCUUCCCUCACCUCCUCCCAAACAUGCAAUUAAGCUUCGGUCAUGAUAAGUUGUGCGAAUUGCGACCUUUAUCUACCUUAGGGUGCCUUCCAAGCGCCUCCGCUGCGCUCCAAGGCGCCUUCCAUGCGCUCUAGGGCGCCUCCCUACAGCGAGAACUUUAUCCUCAAAAUUCAUCCACUCGGGGGCGCCUUCGCCUAGCUCCGAGGCGCUUUCGUACAACUCCGAGGUGAUUCGAGAAUUGUUCAUCCGAUGCUAACUUAUGCAUUUUUGUUCCUACAAAACAUGUUAGUUCAAAUACAAAAGAAAUACCUUGCAAAACAGAGUUAACACAAUCAAAAUAUAGUAUUUUGACAUGUUGGUCCCGAUGUGACCGACAAGAGAGGGUGAAUUGUCCUAUUAAAAAAUUUAACACUUUUUUUUGCUUGCUUGUUUAGGAAAGACGAACACAAGUUAAAGUAGUUAGAAAAAUAAACAUAAAUUAAAGAAAAAGAGGCAAAAAAGUUACUUGGUUUACAACUAGAGACAUUGCUAAUCCAAGAUAAAGUAAGCUCACUAAACGACUCUUUCGAUGAAGGCGGAGUAACCUCUUAUAGACAUUGAAAGCUCAGAAAAGAAACUACGGAGUAAGAAAUUGACAAUACAAUGUUCGUAUUCAAGUGUUGUGUAGAAUCUCGAGUCCCAAGCCUCCUUUGAUAACUUUACUAGCCAAAGUGAUCGUUUGCUGACGUGGCGCAUCCCGGGCGCCCGGACCCGAUCCGAGCGCCUUAGCUGGUCGCCUUAAUCCGUUUUAUAACGGCUAAGUGAUAAGUAGUUUAUUCACUCCUGGGCGCCCGGAUCGGUCUAGGCCCCUAGAUUGCUGUUGACGUGGAUCCUAAAUCUAUCCACAUUGCAACGACUACGCGGGGGCACCUCUUCUGCACCAUAUCAGUUCAAGCGCCUAGGACUUGGUCCAGGCGCCUGGUUGACUUAUCCGACUAAUGCUCCACGCUUGAGUGAUUGAUCGGACAUCCGGUAUUAGGCUCACCCGAACACAUCUCUGACCUUCUUUUCUCGAGCAGUCUUCUGCUUCGGCUUCUCGUCCCUUGGAAGCGCCGCGCGAGUCCUUCCCGUCCGCUGGUGUACUUUUCCGGAGCACCUCGUCCCUCGAAUGCACUGAGUCCGUCAACUCGCUUCCCGUGCCACCUUUCUCGCUAACUGUGUCUUUAGCUUGACUUUUUGUGUUCCUAAGUUUCUGCGCACUUAAACACAAGGAUCAAAUAUAAUAGGACCUAACUUAACCCGGUUGAUCACAUCAAAACUUACUCAGAGUCUCAAGAUUGUCCGAUUCUGACUUUUAGAUUUCCAAUGAAAUCUUAGGUCGAAUCGAUGUCUAUUGUUUCCUCAAUGGGAAACGCAUCCUCACCAAAGAGUUUCCUUUUGCCAAACACCCGUUUGGACUUUUGUGUAGCAUUUAACCUUGACCUCCGAGACUUUCGUUAGACGCUCGAUCCUCCACCUACCUAGACUUCCGCCUAGUAUUCGCGACCCCAAGGACUUUCGCCCGAUGUCCUCGAACUACCAAGUCUUCUGCCCAGUCCACCCUACCAGGACUUCGUGCCCAAUCCUCUCGACCAGGAUUUCAUGCCAAAUCUUUUGACCAAGACUUCGUGCUUAAUUCUCUCAACCAGGAUUUCGUGCCAUCAAGACUUCUUGCCCAAUUUCUUGACUAGGACUUCGUUACCUAGUCUCAACUAGAUUGUGCCUGUAUAUUUAGAUAAACUUGUUACAUCACAAUACAACUUAAUUUUAAACUUUUUAUCAUUAUCAAAAUCAAAUUUAAUUAAUUGGUACUCCCAGUACUAACACAUUCUUGGGUGUAAUAUCGUACAUGAUGAAUUAUCACAGUUGGUUUCUUAAUUCCUUUUUUGCCGAAAUAUGUAAUGCAACUAUAGUUAAACAAUCAUGAUCAAAUUGCCAUGUGUUUCUCAGUAAGUUGCUAGUUAACCAGUUUGCAGAAAUAUAUGCACUGCAAUGGUGGAUGCGCUGCGAGCAUUGGGGCAGGUCGACCUGCAGAAGUUGUUGCAGUUGCACCCAAGAACAUGGUCAGUGGCGGAUCCAGACAAAAAAAGGAAGAGGGUGCUCAACGAAGGGAGUCGGAGCUUGUCUUCCUUCUCGCCGCCCCUCGGACUACAACAUACUGGUGGAAUUUUUCGGGAGCAAGGGGGUGCUCAAGCACACCCCCUUUCCUCUCUAGAUCCGUCACUGAACAUGGUAUAACAUAAUUUACUCUUUUUUAUUUCGAAAAAUUUAUAAUUAUCUCGUUAUAGUUUUAAUAUAAUCAAUCAAGUUAAGUUAGAUUCUGUGUGUGUUUGAUCCUUGUGUCUAAGUAUGUAGGAGCUUAGGAACACAAGAAGUCG
Molecule: long non-coding RNA, 6743 nt
Organism: Zingiber officinale
Lineage: Eukaryota; Viridiplantae; Streptophyta; Magnoliopsida; Zingiberales; Zingiberaceae
Exons: 3
Source: RefSeq, a predicted model, not a curated record